GGUCCAACACCUCUGUAUCUCUUCAACCAAGCAGAAAGGUCCAACACCUCUGUAUCUCUUCAACCAAGCAGAAAGGUCCAACACCUCUGUAUCUCUUCAAACAAGCAGAACGGUCCAACACCUCUGUAUCUCUUCAACCAAGCAGAACGGUCCAACACCUCUGUAUCUCUUCAACCAAGCAGAAAGGUCCAACACCUCUGUGUCUCUUCAACCAAGCAGAACGGUCCAACACCUCUGUAUCUCUUCAACCAAGCAGAAAGGUCCAACACCUCUGUGUCUCUUCAACCAAGCAGAAAGGUCCAACACCUCUGUGUCUCUUCAACCAAGCAGAAAGGUCCAACACCUCUGUAUCUCUUCAACCAAGCAGAAAGGUCCAACACCUCUGUGUCUCUUCAACCAAGCAGAAAGGUCCAACACCUCUGUAUCUCUUCAACCAAGCAGAAAGGUCCAACACCUCUGUAUCUCUUCAACCAAGCAGAAAGGUCCAACACCUCUGUGUCUCUUCAACCAAGCAGAAAGGUCCAACACCUCUGUGUCUCUUCAACCAAGCAGAAAGGCACCUCUGUAUCUCUUCAAACAAGCAGAAAGGUCCAACACCUCUGUAUCUCUUCAACCAAGCAGAAAGGUCCAACACCUCUGUAUCUCUUCAACCAAGCAGAAAGGUCCAACACCUCUGUAUCUCUUCAACCAAGCAGAAAGGUCCAACACCUCUGUGUCUCUUCAACCAAGCAGAAAGGCACCUCUGUAUCU
Molecule: long non-coding RNA, 750 nt
Organism: Oncorhynchus keta (chum salmon)
Lineage: Eukaryota; Metazoa; Chordata; Actinopteri; Salmoniformes; Salmonidae
Exons: 5
Source: RefSeq, a predicted model, not a curated record